RNAcentral lists this long non-coding RNA (2691 nucleotides) under Nicotiana tabacum (common tobacco). RNAcentral describes it as "long non-coding RNA (NTAB_LNC009434)". Lineage: Eukaryota; Viridiplantae; Streptophyta; Magnoliopsida; Solanales; Solanaceae. The record is from RNAcentral.
UUAACCUCAAAAUUUCCUCACCUCUCUCUCUCACCUCCGCCGUCUGCAGCCGCCGAAAAUCGCUUGCGGCAGCGACGCUACUCCAAACCCCCUCAAAAUCACACCCUAUAAUCCUCUCUUCACCCUCAAUCCAAAUUCACCAUCAAACUUUCCGAAACCCCUAUCAAAUCCUUCCAAUUUUGGAUCUGGAAAUCCUGGAAAAAAAACUAAAUCCUUCCUCUUCUAAUUACUCCUCGACCCCGGCCCGUUUAAACUCAAAACCUACAUUAAUUGAUUGCUCUUGAUGAGAGCAAUUGAUUGAUGUUAGUCUCAGUUCAUCUCACGGCUACCGGAGUUUGUUCAGUUUAUCGGAGUUGAUGUCGAUUCCCAGUCUCUUUAUUAUUAGCUCUUAUACGGCUUCAAUUGGUAACUCCGUGAUCCUUUUCUUUUGUUCAGAAUUAAUAAUUUUCUUGAACAUCUGUUUUGCAUUUUUAUUCAAUUUAGUUAGACACUUUGCAUACUAUUCGAUUCCGUGUUUGCAUGAGUAGAUUAACAGUUCAAUUGCAGGACCUCGAUUAGUUAAUCGCAUGUGUUUAGGUUAAUUGAAUCAUUUUUAAUUAAUUCAGGAAUUUAGUUAGGAUUAACUAGUAGAUUGUCUAUGUUUUAUUUGUUCUCUAAUUUUAGCUUAAUCACUGAUUUUUAGAUUCCUUUGCUAAUUAACAAGUUUAAUUUCAUAGCUUAUUAAUGUUUCAGUUAGUUUUUGUCAUAUUAAACUCUUUGUAUUUAUCAUUUUUAUAGUGUUAGCUUUAAUUGUUCAAAAUCAAUCGUUUUGUUUAUUUUUUAUCUUUUGGGCUGUUUUAGUUUUGGAACUUGAUGAGUUGUCAGGCUUGACAAAUAGAAAGCCCAAUUAGUUUGGGCCUAAGCUUGUUGGUCAUUUGGCUUAAUUCUUUGAAUAUUUGGGUUAAUAGAGAAUAGAGUGAACUUUUCAGAAGUUCAUAGGUUCUGGGAAUAAAAGAAGUUUCUAGAAACAAGGACAUAUGUCCCAAUCUGUUAAGAAAUUGGACAUCUGUCCAUUUUCUAUUUUGAAAAGAUGUCAAUUCCCUGAUUUUAAGGGAAGGCUGGCAGAUUCCUUCACUCUCUCUCAUUCCUAUCAUCUUGCACUCUCACAUUCUAUAAAAGGGACCCUAUACUCCUCAUACACGGAGGUUAAUAUUCAGCAUAUUCACUCAAAAAGCACACACAGUCUUAGACAAAAAAGGGUCACAACUACUAGAAAUUUAGGUUUUUCUUUGAAAUUUGAGUUUAAAAAGCUGUUAAAAACACUCCAAAAAUCAGAGAGAUAUAAAGAUUGAAAGCUGCUUCUAGUCACUUUGGGAUUUUGGCAUCAUUUCUGAGUUCAAAGUUUGGUUUGGUUGGAAGAAAUUGCUGGUUUAAUUGCUGCUGUUGUUUUCUUUUGUUCAUCUGGGAUUCAAAUUGUCCUCGUGAUCUCUGUUGCUGCUCUGUUUUGAGCUCUUUGUUAGCUAUACUCCUUGAUCUUUACUUGGCGAAAUUCAGCUUCAUUUGCAAGUUUAGGUACACAUCUCGCUGCACUUGUACCUCUGUUUGAUUUGCAAUUAAAUGUUAGUUAUUCCUUAAAGUUAUUUGUUGUGGUUGCGUAAAUUGACUAUUCCUGUUUGUAAACGUGAAUGAAUAUUAGUUUUGAUAUGCUUUAGACCUUAAACUUGUUAUGGAUUUGCAUGAUUGAGGACAAAUGGUCUCCUUAGUAAUUUUGUGGCUGAAAUUGUAGUUGAUUUCACAUGUUUAGUUAGAUUUCAAACUACAUAUCUCAUGGUCAAAUACAUGCUGCCUCUAUUCAAAAUACUAACUGCUGGAAAUCUGAGCUUGCUUUUUAUGAUAAAUUAAGGUCUAAUGAUGGAUUUGAAGGUCAACAACUGUGGAUCUGUCCACAAGUUGGUUUGAGUUGCAUUUUAAUGGCUUUACUCACAUGAUAAUUCUUAGCUCUAAUCAUUGACAUUCUCAUAAUUUGCUUAAGUAUGAGCUUUAAAAUAGAACAGGUUUUUUGCUUGAAUGAUGGCUAAGCUAUGUGUGGUAAUGAAGCAUGUAGGGCCGUUGAUUUAGUAUUAUUAUCAAUACUAAUAGUUUGGUAAUUAGCUUCAUUAUAAUUUCAAGAUACUAUUAAGUUGCUAUUUGAGAACAUUUGAUUGUUGUAAAUAUAAAAAUGGCCACUGAUUUUUGUUCUAAGCCAUGAUCAAUGGGUUUGAUAUUAAGGGUGUAUUUGAUUAUCUCAUAAAAGUUCUAUUAGAGUGUCUGGCUUUUUCUUUCUCUUAUUUUGUAAGAAACGAACCGCUCAUACCUUUUAUUUACAGCAUAAUGAUGCCAGUAAGGGGUUUGAUGUGUGGAUUGAAUGAAUUCUUCUAUUUACAAUAAUACAUAGGGCUUGUUUCUGGGCCCAAGUUGAAAGAACAUGAGGUUUAAUAUUACUGUCCCUCAAGUUAUAUAUCCCUUUCAUCAUUAAUUGAUUAUCCUCUUUUGAACUCGAGUAGUCCCAAAUGUAUUCAAACUAUAAACAAAUUUAAAUGACUGGGAAGUCUUGGCUCGUCAAUAGUUCGAAUUCGAUUUAGCUAAUUGCAGACUUUGUCCACAAAUAACUCCAUAAUUCCAGACAUCCUCAUGUAAUCUUAAACCUUAGGAAAUCAUUUAAACCCAUAAACA